This 485-nucleotide small RNA is filed under the name Arabidopsis thaliana (thale cress). RNAcentral's name for it is "ATSL279290". The record is from RNAcentral. Lineage: Eukaryota; Viridiplantae; Streptophyta; Magnoliopsida; Brassicales; Brassicaceae.
AAAAAAGAAACUACUGUGUGUAAAAAACCUUUUCUCUCUCUUCCUUCUGGGCGAUUCUACAGCGAUCCUCCACCGACUUCCACCGCCUCAAUUUUCUGGUGAUCUCUUUGUCGUCCUAGUGCGGAUCUUACUCUCCGGUGUCUCUGCCGGUCCGUUCGUGUUGUUCUCUUUGACUGUUGUUGUCUUCUCUGAAUCCAUGGAUAAAGAAUUAUGGCAAGCGCUUCAAAAUUUAGAUCUAGGAUCUGAGAGAGCUCCUCUGAAGAUGUCAGCUGAAGCGAGGCGCUCGCGUGAUAUAGAUAAUCGUCUCAGCCUAAUUGUCAAAGGUCUAAACCCUCAACAUCAGAAACCAGCAGGACUUAAAGGUGCUUUGCCUAAAGCUUGGAGAUUGGAUGGAAGGGUUACAAGUAGAAUUAAUGAUGACGGUACUGUUCAAUUCUUCUUUAAGGCUGAACACCAUCUCAUGUCUGUCCUAGAAAAUGGCCCUU